Molecule: ribosomal RNA, 503 nt
Filed under: Limosilactobacillus fermentum
Lineage: Bacteria; Bacillati; Bacillota; Bacilli; Lactobacillales; Lactobacillaceae
Description: bacterial SSU rRNA
Rfam family: Bacterial small subunit ribosomal RNA
Source: RNAcentral
UUUAUUUCCUUUNUNGUUGCUGGUGCUUGCACCUGAUUGAUUUUGGNCGCCAACGAGUGGCGGACGGGUGAGUAACACGUAGGUAACCUGCCCAGAAGCGGGGGACAACAUUUGGAAACAGAUGCUAAUACCGCAUAACAACGUUGUUCGCAUGAACAACGCUUAAAAGAUGGCUUCUCGCUAUCACUUCUGGAUGGACCUGCGGUGCAUUAGCUUGUUGGUGGGGUAANGGCCUACCAAGGCGAUGAUGCAUAGCCGAGUUGAGAGACUGAUCGGCCACAAUGGGACUGAGACACGGCCCAUACUCCUACGGGAGGCAGCAGUAGGGAAUCUUCCACAAUGGGCGCAAGCCUGAUGGAGCAACACCGCGUGAGUGAAGAAGGGUUUCGGCUCGUAAAGCUCUGUUGUUAAAGAAGAACACGUAUGAGAGUAACUGUUCAUACGUUGACGGUAUUUAACCAGAAAGUCACGGCUAACUACGUGCCAGCAGCCGCGGAAUUACA